UGGGGUGUGGUCCAAUGGCAAGACACGCGACUCUGGCUCGUGUAAUCGGGGUUCGAAUCCCUGCACCCCAGCAA
RNAcentral lists this transfer RNA (74 nucleotides) under Caldithrix sp. Its description in RNAcentral is "tRNA-Gln". It matches the Rfam family "tRNA". Rfam says of the family: Transfer RNA (tRNA) molecules are approximately 80 nucleotides in length. Their secondary structure includes four short double-helical elements and three loops (D, anti-codon, and T loops). Further hydrogen bonds mediate the characteristic L-shaped molecular structure. tRNAs have two regions of fundamental functional importance: the anti-codon, which is responsible for specific mRNA codon recognition, and the 3' end, to which the tRNAs corresponding amino acid is attached (by aminoacyl-tRNA synthetases). tRNAs cope with the degeneracy of the genetic code in two manners: having more than one tRNA (with a specific anti-codon) for a particular amino acid; and 'wobble' base-pairing, i.e. permitting non-standard base-pairing at the 3rd anti-codon position. The record is from RNAcentral. Lineage: Bacteria; Pseudomonadati; Calditrichota; Calditrichia; Calditrichales; Calditrichaceae.